This 300-nucleotide ribosomal RNA is filed under the name uncultured Lactobacillus sp. Its description in RNAcentral is "bacterial SSU rRNA". It matches the Rfam family "Bacterial small subunit ribosomal RNA", at positions 496 to 795 of the family's 1533-position model. Lineage: Bacteria; Bacillati; Bacillota; Bacilli; Lactobacillales; Lactobacillaceae. The record is from RNAcentral.
GGUAACUGCGGGCUGGCGGCUAGGGUAAUUAGAAGGGUGCAAGAGUGACGUGGAAGUACUGGGCGUAAAGGGUGCGGAGGUUGGUUGUUAAGUCUGAUGUGAAAGCCCGGGGCUCAACCUGGGAACUGCAUUGGAUACUGGCUUACUGGAGUGCGGUAGAGGGUAGCGGAAUUCCCGGUGUAGCAGUGAAAUGCGUAGAUAUCGGGAGGAACAUCCGUGGCGAAGGCGGCUACCUGGACCAGCACUGACACUGAGGCACGAAAGCGUGGGGAGCAAACAGGAUUAGAUACCCUGGUAGUC